RNAcentral lists this ribosomal RNA (492 nucleotides) under uncultured bacterium. RNAcentral describes it as "partial 16S ribosomal RNA". It matches the Rfam family "Bacterial small subunit ribosomal RNA", at positions 29 to 507 of the family's 1533-position model. The record is from RNAcentral.
AGUGAACGCUGGCGGUAGGCCUAACACAUGCAAGUCGAACGGCAGCACAGUAAGAGCUUGCUCUUACGGGUGGCGAGUGGCGGACGGGUGAGGAAUACAUCGGAAUCUACUUUUUCGUGGGGGAUAACGUAGGGAAACUUACGCUAAUACCGCAUACGACCUACGGGUGAAAGCAGGGGAUCUUCGGACCUUGCGCGAUUGAAUGAGCCGAUGUUGGAUUAGCUAGUUGGCGGGGUAAAGGCCCACCAAGGCGCCGAUCCGUAGCUGGUCUGAGGGGAUGAUCGGCCACACUGGAACUGAGACAGGGUCCAGACUCCUACGGGAGGCAGCAGUGGGGAAUAUUGGACAAUGGGCGCAAGCCUGAUCCAGCCAUACCGCGUGGGUGAAGAAGGCCUUCGGGUUGUAAAGCCCUUUUGUUGGGAAAGAAAAGCAGCAGGUUAAUACCCCGCUGUUCUGACGGUACCCAAAGAAUAAGCACCGGCUAACUUCGUG